UCAUGCUCAUGAUCUCGCCGUCCC
Molecule: non-coding RNA, 24 nt
Filed under: Arabidopsis thaliana (thale cress)
Lineage: Eukaryota; Viridiplantae; Streptophyta; Magnoliopsida; Brassicales; Brassicaceae
Source: RNAcentral